RNAcentral lists this signal recognition particle RNA (266 nucleotides) under Thermosyntropha lipolytica DSM 11003. RNAcentral describes it as "Bacterial large signal recognition particle RNA". It matches the Rfam family "Bacterial large signal recognition particle RNA". Rfam says of the family: The signal recognition particle (SRP) is a universally conserved ribonucleoprotein involved in the co-translational targeting of proteins to membranes. Archaeal SRP consists of a 7S RNA and homologues of the eukaryotic SRP19 and SRP54 proteins. In most bacteria, the SRP consists of a 4.5S RNA and the Ffh protein (a homologue of the eukaryotic SRP54 protein). Lineage: Bacteria; Bacillati; Bacillota; Clostridia; Eubacteriales; Syntrophomonadaceae. The record is from Rfam by way of RNAcentral.
CCGUGCUAGACGGGGAAUUAGCGGUGCCCUGUAACCUGCAACCCGCUAUAGCAGGGUCGAAUUCCUGAGCUGAGGGUUUAUCCUGUGAGGUCUGGCCAGGAUAAGUGGUGUAGAAGUCUGGGUCCUGCGCAAUAAGAGGCCUUGAACCGUGUCAGGUCCGGGAGGAAGCAGCACUAAGAGGUUUAUCUUAUGUGCCGCGGGGUAGCCUGGAUGGAGCUAACUAUCCUGGUAACGCUCGGGGGAUAUUCUCGAAGCCAGGUGCACGG